UACUAAUGCAUUGCUAAAUGGAUGGAUGU
This 29-nucleotide non-coding RNA is filed under the name Rattus norvegicus (Norway rat). The record is from RNAcentral. Lineage: Eukaryota; Metazoa; Chordata; Mammalia; Rodentia; Muridae.